UUCAGGGCUCCUGUAGCCUUCCUGCUAGAAACUAGACAUGGCAAGGCUGGUCACACAUUCAGCAAGAGAUAAUGGAUUCCAAUAACUUGUGAGUGGUGAGGAGUGGUGUGUAGGAGAAGGAACAAUCUUAAAGGAUAUUAAAUUCAUGCAAACAGCGACAAUGGAACAAAUGCCAAAGAAACUGAGAUUGAAACAGCUACUGACAUACAUAAAGAACAACGGCUGCUGCAGCUUUUUGUGAAUACACCGAAUGCCGUGCGCUGUUGACAGCUGAAGAUGAGCAGCUUAGGCUGAAGGAGAAAUCCUCUGGACUUACAGGACAAAUUCAGAGACCAUGUCCAUGAUAUUCCAAUGUGGCAAUGAUCCCCAACUGCCAUUUACCACCAGCAUCCAAUGUAAGUUGGAGCAGCCCUGAAGCUGCUCUAUCUUAUGCUGAAGGACCAGUCUCACUCACAGCCACACCAGAGUCAGAGGCACAAACAGAGUAUACAACAGGGAGAAAAAACAAUGAAGGAACCACACAGAAAAAGGAAGUUGCAUUGGACACAGGAUUUCUAUGGAACUAACCAAAGAAGCAGAAAUCGUGGCUAGGAAUUUUUUUUUCAAAGUUUGCCUCUUCAUCCGCCAAACUCAUUCUAAAAAUGGACAAAGCUGCUGUGUCCGCAGAAGAAGCUGGCAAGAAAGAGAGCAUUAAGAAAACCAUACCACUGAUCCAAAUGAACAGGGAGAGUGUGCUGGACUGAGAUUAUACCCUAACUGGCUGUAGACAACUGCUGCUUUUCCAAAAAGUACUCAUUACACCUAGAAGCAUUUCAAAGUCCCAUUGCAUGUGAAUACAGCCUGUAACUUAUUUAAAUUGCAUGUUUACUGCGCCAGCGAAGAUACAAUACCAGAUAUUUUACCAAGAAGGCAAGCUCUUUAUCUAAUCAUUUGCACAAUCAAGUAAUAAUGAUGUCUUUUGUUUUCUCUGAUACUUUAUCAUCUGUGUACAUAAAACUUACCUUACUGC
This is a non-coding RNA of Chrysemys picta bellii (western painted turtle), 1009 nucleotides long. Lineage: Eukaryota; Metazoa; Chordata; Testudines; Emydidae. The record is from RefSeq and is a predicted model, not a curated record.